Long non-coding RNA from Micropterus dolomieu (smallmouth bass), 427 nucleotides. RefSeq lists it as uncharacterized. Lineage: Eukaryota; Metazoa; Chordata; Actinopteri; Centrarchiformes; Centrarchidae. The transcript has 3 exons. The record is from RefSeq and is a predicted model, not a curated record.
AUUGAUCUCUGUCUGUACUAAAACAAACGAAAACACACAUUACAUGACCAUUCACACAUAUCAAGUGACCAUUCAGGUACACUGGGCAUGCGAGUGCUUCGUGUGAUUCAAAGACAUUAAGGUGUUUGGAUUUGCCGUUUUAGUGUGGACGGCAGGCGUAAAUGUAGCAAAAGUGCUGCGUUUAAAAACAAAAACGUUGUACGGUGGAUGUAGCCUGAGAAGAAGAAAAUAUCCAAGCCCUUCUUCAACUUGCUUAAAGGCACAGGGAACUUGUAGGAGAAACACAAGCAGCCCACGCUUCUUGCGGUGCCCAUCUGGUAUCUCCAUAGCUGCAGUAAUUCUGAUGUGUAGUUACAUCUUUGAGGAGGUACACAUCAGUUAACAGAUACAGUAUCUACAGCAGCUACACGUGUAUGGUCAGAAGCUA